AAAAUCCAAAAAAAAAAAAAGAUGAAACAAAAUGAAUCCCAUUGAUGACAAGCAAGAAAAAGUAACAUUUAGAGCAAUAAGCCAUGGUGAAGAAGGCAAAACAAAGGUAACAAAACAUGAAACAAACACACACAACAUAGAAACCUUAAAACACAGAGAAAAAAAAACUUAUAGACAAAGGUGUACAUAGAAAAGAUCGUCGUCCUAUCGAUGGAAUACCUUUAAAUAAACAAUCGAAAUCGGGUUAUGGGGGAAAAUUUACAUGGGAAGGACCGCGAAACGCUAGGGAAUAUGAAUAUCAUGAUCUCCCCGUGGCUCUCGAUGAGAACGAUUCAAAUUUUGUUGAUGAAGGGGAAGGUGUUGCUGGAGAAGUUGAUGUCGUUAAGGUUGCUAAUGAAGGUGUAGGUAGAAUUGAUGUUGUUGAUCGUGGUUUUCAAGAAAAUAUGUGAUGUGUAACGUUUCAGUAACGAGUUUUAAGUUAUAUAUAUCGCCAGUAUAUCAGUAUAUUAUAAGGUCAAAAAGAAAAUUUUUCUUUAAAAGUGUGAUGUACAAGAAAAUAUGGAAUCUAAUGUCUCAGUAACGAGUUUAAGUUAAAACAUAUUGUCAGUCUUAAAAUUAUUUUUUAAAAAGUGUUGACGUAUAACAUGAGUUUAAGUUAUAUAUAUUGUCAGUUUAUUAUAAGGUCAAGAUUAUCCUUUAAAAAGUGCUCUAUAUUAAAA
RNAcentral lists this long non-coding RNA (719 nucleotides) under Capsicum annuum. RNAcentral describes it as "long non-coding RNA (CANN_LNC015011)". Lineage: Eukaryota; Viridiplantae; Streptophyta; Magnoliopsida; Solanales; Solanaceae. The record is from RNAcentral.